Molecule: ribosomal RNA, 429 nt
Filed under: Chloroflexota bacterium
Lineage: Bacteria; Bacillati; Chloroflexota
Description: Chloroflexi bacterium partial 16S ribosomal RNA
Rfam family: Bacterial small subunit ribosomal RNA
Source: RNAcentral
UGGGGAAUAUUGCACAAUGGGCGCAAGCCUGAUGCAGCCAUGCCGCGUGUAUGAAGAAGGCCUUCGGGUUGUAAAGUACUUUCAGCGGGGAGGAAGGGAGUAAAGUUAAUACCUUUGCUCAUUGACGUUACCCGCAGAAGAAGCACCGGCUAACUCCGUGCCAGCAGCCGCGGUAAUACGGAGGGUGCAAGCGUUAAUCGGAAUUACUGGGCGUAAAGCGCACGCAGGCGGUUUGUUAAGUCAGAUGUGAAAUCCUCGGGCUCAACCUGGGAACUGCAGCUGAUACUGGCAAGCUUGAGUCUCGUAGAGGGGGGUAGAAUUCCAGGUGUAGCGAUGAAAUGCGUAGAGAUCUGGAGGAAUACCGGUGGCGAAGGCGGCCCCCUGGACGAAGACUGACGCUCAGGUGCGAAAGCGUGGGGAGCAAACAGG